RNAcentral lists this ribosomal RNA (392 nucleotides) under Monodopsis subterranea. RNAcentral's name for it is "Monodus subterranea partial small subunit ribosomal RNA". It matches the Rfam family "Eukaryotic small subunit ribosomal RNA", at positions 30 to 432 of the family's 1831-position model. Lineage: Eukaryota; Eustigmatophyceae; Eustigmatales; Monodopsidaceae. The record is from RNAcentral.
GCUUGUCUCAAAGAUUAAGCCAUGCAUGUCUAAGUAUAAACAAAUUUAUAGUGAAACUGCGAAUGGCUCAUUAUAUCAGUUAUAGUUUAUUUGGCGAUAAAAACUACUUGGAUAACCGUAGUAAUUCUAGAGCUAAUACAUGCAUCAUCCCCCAUCUCGGGGUGUAUUUAUUAGAUGGAAACCAAUGCGGGGCAACCCGGAAUAUGGUGAAUCAUAAUAACUUUGCGGAUCGCAGACCUCGCGUCGGCGACGAAUCAUUCAAGUUUCUGCCCUAUCAGCUUUGGAUGGUAGGGUAUUGGCCUACCAUGGCUCUAACGGGUAACGGAGAAUUGGGGUUCGAUUCCGGAGAGGGAGCCUGAGAGAUGGCUACCACAUCCAAGGAAGGCAGCAGG